GAGUUUGAUCUUGGCUCAGAGCGAACGCUGGCGGCAGGCUUAACACAUGCAAGUCGAACGCCCUUUCGGGGGGAGUGGCAGACGGAUGAGUAACGCGUGGGAACGUGCCCAUCGGUUCGGGAUAACCCAGGGAAACUUGGGCUAAUACCGGAUACGACCGUGAGGUGAAAGAACUUCGCCGAUGGAUCGGCCCGCGUCUGAUUAGCUGGUUGGUAGGUAACGGCCUACCAAGGCGACGAUCUGUAGCUGGUCUGAGAGGACGACCAGCCACACUGGGACUGAGACACGGCCCAGACUCCUACGGGAGGCAGCAGUGGGGAAUUUUGGACAAUGGGCGCAAGCCUGAUCCAGCCAUUCCGCGUGCAGGAUGAAGGCCCUCGGGUUGUAAACUGCUUUUGUACGGAACGAAACGCGCUGUGUUAAUACCACGGCGUAAUGACGGUACCGUAAGAAUAAGCACCGGCUAACUACGUGCCAGCCGCCGCAGUAAG
This 491-nucleotide ribosomal RNA is filed under the name uncultured beta proteobacterium. Its description in RNAcentral is "bacterial SSU rRNA". It matches the Rfam family "Bacterial small subunit ribosomal RNA", at positions 9 to 524 of the family's 1533-position model. The record is from RNAcentral. Lineage: Bacteria; Pseudomonadati; Pseudomonadota; Betaproteobacteria.